Molecule: ribosomal RNA, 500 nt
Filed under: uncultured bacterium
Lineage: Bacteria
Description: partial 16S ribosomal RNA
Rfam family: Bacterial small subunit ribosomal RNA
Source: RNAcentral
AUUGAACGCUGGCGGCAUGCUUUACACAUGCAAGUCGAACGGUAACAGGGUGCUUGCACCGCUGACGAGUGGCGAACGGGUGAGUAAUGCGUCGGAACGUGCCGAGUAGUGGGGGAUAACGCAGCGAAAGUUGUGCUAAUACCGCAUACGUACUGAGGUAGAAAGUGGGGGACCUUCGGGCCUCACGCUAUUCGAGCGGCCGACGUCUGAUUAGCUAGUAGGUGAGGUAAAGGCUCACCUAGGCGACGAUCAGUAGCGGGUCUGAGAGGAUGGUCCGCCAAAUGGGAGCUGAGACGCGGCCCAGAAUCCUACGGGAGGCAGCAGUGGGGAAUUUUGGACGAUGGGCGAAAGCCUGAGCCAGCCAUGCCGCGUGUCUGAAGAAGGCCUUCGGGUUGUAAAGGACUUUUGUCAGGGAGGAAAUCCCUAGUGCUAAUAACACUGGGGGAUGACAGUACCUGAAGAAUAAGCACCGGCUAACUACGUGCCAGCCGCCGCAGUAA